CGGGCUGGGCCCGCGCGCGGCGGCAGCGGCGCCCCGGGCCGGAGGCGGCCCAGCCGAGCGGGCCAUGGCUACCGCCAUUCAGAACCCGCUCAAGUCCCUAGGCGAGGACUUCUACCGCGAGGCCAUCGAGCACUGCCGCAGCUACAACGCGCGCCUGUGCGCCGAGCGCAGCCUGCGACUGCCCUUCCUCGACUCGCAGACCGGCGUGGCCCAGAACAAUUGCUACAUCUGGAUGGAGAAGACCCACCGCGGGCCGGGUUUGGCCCCCGGACAGAUUUACACGUACCCCGCCCGCUGUUGGAGGAAGAAACGGAGACUCAACAUCCUGGAGGACCCCAGACUCAGGCCCUGCGAGUACAAGAUCGACUGUGAAGCACCCCUGAAGAAGGAGGGUGGCCUCCCGGAAGGGCCGGUCCUCGAGGCUCUACUGUGUGCAGAGACGGGGGAGAAGAAGAUUGAGCUGAAGGAGGAGGAGACCAUUAUGGACUGUCAGAAACAGCAGUUGCUGGAGUUUCCGCAUGAUCUCGAGGUGGAAGACUUGGAGGAUGACAUUCCCAGGAGGAAGAACAGGGCCAAAGGAAAGGCAUAUGGCAUCGGGGGUCUCCGGAAACGCCAGGACACCGCUUCCCUGGAGGACCGAGACAAGCCGUAUGUCUGUGAUAGUGAGUCCUUCUGAAGAGGGGGAAAGGCAGAGAGAGGGGGGCCCAGAGACUCCCCACCUCGUGGCCCUCUCCCUCCUGUUCCAGACCCGGGUUGGGAGGCUGCUCAGGUCUCUGGCUGAGGGGGGAGGUGUGAUCCUGGAGGCCAGGGUGGAGGCGGCAUGGGCCCGGAGGGGCUGACAGGCCCUCCUGGCUCGCUCGCUCCCCAGUCUGUGGGAAACGGUAUAAGAACCGGCCGGGGCUCAGCUACCACUACACCCACACCCACCUGGCCGAGGAGGAGGGGGAGGAGAACGCCGAACGCCACGCCCUGCCCUUCCACCGGAAAAACAACCAUAAACGUGAGCUGGCAGGCCAGGUGGGGGUGGCAAGGGGCCCCGGGAAUGGGGAAGAGGAGCCCAGCUGGGGGU
This 1069-nucleotide small RNA is filed under the name Pongo abelii (Sumatran orangutan). RNAcentral describes it as "retained intron". Lineage: Eukaryota; Metazoa; Chordata; Mammalia; Primates; Hominidae. The record is from RNAcentral.